GAUGAAGAACGCAGCGAAAUGCGAUACUUGGUGUGAAUUGCAGAAUCCCGUGAACCAUCGAGUCUUUGAACGCAAGUUGCGCCCGAAGCCACUAGGCCGAGGGCACGCCUGCCUGGGCGUCACACGUCGUUGCCCCCCCCCCAUCUACUCCUUCGGGAUUGCGGGGGGCGGAUGAUGGCCUCCCGUGCGCCUAGCCGCGCGGUUGGCAUAAAUACCAAGUCCUCGGCGACGCACGCCACGACAAUCGGUGGUUGCGAAACCUCGGUUGCCCGUCGUGUGCGUUCGUCGCGCAUCGAGGGCUCGAAAAAAUGCUCGGCUCCGGCUCGGCUUUCAACGCGACCCCAGGUCAGGCGGGGUUACCCGCUGAAUUUAAGCAUAUCUAAGCGGAGGA
RNAcentral lists this unclassified non-coding RNA (391 nucleotides) under soil metagenome. RNAcentral's name for it is "partial contains 5.8S ribosomal RNA, internal transcribed spacer 2, and large subunit ribosomal RNA". The stretch from base 1 to 122 matches the Rfam family "5.8S ribosomal RNA", at positions 35 to 154 of the family's 154-position model. The record is from RNAcentral.